GUGGGGAAUCUUCCGCAAUGGACGAAAGUCUGACGGAGCAACGCCGCGUGAGUGAAGAAGGUUUUCGGAUCGUAAAGCUCUUUCGUUAGGGACGAACGUGCUCUUUGUGAAUAAUGAGGAGUAAUGACGGUACCUAAAUAAGAAGCCACGGCUAACUACGUGCCAGCAGCCGCGGUAAUACGUAGGUGGCAAGCGUUGUCCGGAAUUAUUGGGCGUAAAGCGCGCGCAGGCGGGAUAUCAAGUCUGUCUUAAAAGUGCGAGGCUCAACCUCGUGAGGGGACAGAAACUGGUAUUCUUGAGUGUCGGAGAGGAAAGUGGAAUUCCAAGUGUAGCGGUAAAAUGCGUAGAGAUUUGGAAGAACACCAGUGGCGAAGGCGACUUUCUGGACGAUGUCUGACGCUGAGGCGCGAAAGCUAGGGGAGCGAACGGGAUUAGAUACCCCAGUAGUCC
This 450-nucleotide ribosomal RNA is filed under the name uncultured bacterium. Its description in RNAcentral is "partial 16S ribosomal RNA". It matches the Rfam family "Bacterial small subunit ribosomal RNA", at positions 354 to 796 of the family's 1533-position model. The record is from RNAcentral.